AGUCCUGGCGUCAGGAUGAACGCUGGCGGCGUGCUUAACACAUGCAAGUCGAACGGAGCACCCUGAAGGAGUUUUCGGACAACGGAAGGGGCUGCUUAGUGGCGGACGGUGAGUAACGCGUGAGGAACCUGCUUGGAUGGGAUAACAGCUGGAAACAGCUGCUAAUACCGCAUAAUAUAUCUGGGCCGCAUGGCUCUGGAUAUCAAAGAUUUAUCGCUCUGAGAUGGACUCGCGUCUGAUUAGCUGGUUGGCGGGGUAACGGCCCACCAAGGCGACGAUCAGUAGCCGGACUGAGAGGUUGGCCGGCCACAUUGGGACUGAGACACGGCCCAGACUCCUACGGGAGGCAGCAGUGGGGAAUAUUGGGCAAUGGGCGCAAGCCUGACCCAGCAACGCCGCGUGAAGGAAGAAGGCUUUCGGGUUGCAAACUUCUUUUGUCAGGGACGAAGCAAGUGACGGUACCUGACGAAUAAGCCACGGCUAACUACGUG
Molecule: ribosomal RNA, 491 nt
Filed under: uncultured Oscillibacter sp.
Lineage: Bacteria; Bacillati; Bacillota; Clostridia; Eubacteriales; Oscillospiraceae
Description: bacterial SSU rRNA
Rfam family: Bacterial small subunit ribosomal RNA
Source: RNAcentral